ACUCAAAGGAAUUGACGGGGAUCCGCACAAGCGGUGGAGCAUGUGGUUUAAUUCGAUAGUAAGCGAGGAACCUCACCCAGAUUUGACAUCUAGCUGCAAAUCCCGAGAAAUCGGGACUUCUUCGAGAGUGCUAGACAGGUGCUGCAUGGUUGUCGUCAGCUCGUGUCGUGAGACGUAUGGUUAAGUCCCUUAACGAGCGCAACCCUCGUCCUGUGUUACUAAUUUCACAGGAGACUGCCUCGGAUAACGAGGAGGAAGGUGAGGACGACGUCAAAUCAGCAUGGCUCUUACAUCUGGGGCUACACACGUGCUACAAUGGCCGGUACAAUGGGGCGCUAAGCGGAAACGCGGAGCAAAUCCCAUCAAAACCGGUCCCAGUUCGGAUUGAGGUCUGCAACUCGACCUCAUGAAGUCGGAAUCGCUAGUAAACGCGAAUCAGCCUCGUCGCGUUGAAUACGUUCUCGGAUCUUGUACACACCGCCCGU
RNAcentral lists this ribosomal RNA (485 nucleotides) under uncultured bacterium. RNAcentral describes it as "partial 16S ribosomal RNA". It matches the Rfam family "Bacterial small subunit ribosomal RNA", at positions 899 to 1397 of the family's 1533-position model. The record is from RNAcentral.